RNAcentral lists this ribosomal RNA (271 nucleotides) under uncultured archaeon. RNAcentral describes it as "partial 16S ribosomal RNA". It matches the Rfam family "Archaeal small subunit ribosomal RNA", at positions 477 to 747 of the family's 1478-position model. The record is from RNAcentral.
CAGCGCCACGAGUGGCAAUCACAAUUAUUGGGCCUAAAGCGUCCGUAGCCGGUCUGGAAAAUCUUUUGUGAAAUCGUACGGCUUAACCGAACGGCGUGCAGAAGACACUACCAGACUAGGAACCGGGAGGAGUCAGAGGUAUGCCGGGGGGAGCGGUAAAAUGCUAUAAUCCCUGGUAGACCACCUGUGGCGAAGGCGUCUGACUAGAACGGAUUUGACGGUGAGGGACGAAAGCUAGGGGAGCGAACCGGAUUAGAUACCCGAGUAGUCC